Molecule: ribosomal RNA, 200 nt
Filed under: uncultured bacterium
Lineage: Bacteria
Description: partial 16S ribosomal RNA
Rfam family: Bacterial small subunit ribosomal RNA
Source: RNAcentral
CCUACGGGAGGCAGCAGUGGGGAAUAUUGGACAAUGGGCGAAAGCCUGAUCCAGCAAUGCCGCGUGAGUGAUGAAGGCCUUAGGGUUGUAAAGCUCUUUUACCCGGGAUGAUAAUGACAGUACCGGGAGAAUAAGCUCCGGCUAACUCCGUGCCAGCAGCCGCGGUAAUACGGAGGGAGCUAGCGUUAUUCGGAAUUACU